AACACAUGCAAGUCGAGGGGCAUCACGAGGUAGCAAUACUUUGGUGGCGACCGGCAGACGGGUGAGUAACGCGUAUGCAACCUACCCUGUACAGGGGGAUANNNNNNNNNNNNNNNNNNNNNNNNNNNNNNNNNNNNNNNNNNNNNNNNNNNNNNNNNNNNAAGUUCCAACGGUACAAGAUGGGCAUGCGUGACAUUAGCUAGUUGGUAAGGUAACGGCUUACCAAGGCUACGAUGUCUAGGGGUUCUGAGAGGAUGAUCCCCCACACUGGUACUGAGACACGGACCAGACUCCUACGGGAGGCAGCAGUGAGGAAUAUUGGUCAAUGGGCGCAAGCCUGAACCAGCCAUCCCGCGUGCAGGAUGACGGCCCUAUGGGUUGUAAACUGCUUUUAUACGGGAGCAAUAAGGUCUACGAGUAGGCCGAUGAGAGUACCAUAGGAAUAAGCACCGGCUAACUCCGUGCCAGCAGCCGCGGUAAUACGGAGGGUGCAAGCGUUAUCCGGAUUUAUUGGGUUUAAAGGGUGCGUAGGCGGUCUAUUAAGUCAGCGGUGAAAGUUUUCAGCUUAACUGGAAGGGUGCCGUUGAUACUGUCAGGCUUGAAUUUAGUUGCUGUGGGUGGAAUGUGUGGUGUAGCGGUGAAAUGCAUAGAUAUCACACAGAAUAUCGAUUGCGAAGGCAGCUCACAAAGCUAAUAUUGACGCUGAUGCACGAAAGUGUGGGGAUCAAACAGGAUUAGAUACCCUGGUAGUCCACACUGUAAACGAUGAUAACUCGCUGUCGGCGAUACAUAGUCGGUGGCCAAGCGAAAGCGAUAAGUUAUCCACCUGGGGAGUACGACCGCAAGGUUGAAACUCAAAGGAAUUGACGGGGGCCCGCACAAGCGGAGGAACAUGUGGUUUAAUUCGAUGAUACGCGAGGAACCUUACCCGGGCUCGAACGGUGCAUGAAUAAUUCAGAGAUGGAUUAGUCCUUCGGGACAUGUAUCGAGGUGCUGCAUGGUUGUCGUCAGCUCGUGCCGUGAGGUGUCGGCUUAAGUGCCAUAACGAGCGCAACCCUUGUCGUUAGUUACCAUCAAGUAAUGUUGGGGACUCUAGCGAGACUGCCACCGUAAGGUGUGAGGAAGGGGGGGAUGACGUCAAAUCAGCACGGCCCUUACGUCCGGGGCGACACACGUGUUACAAUGGUAGGUACAGAGGGCCGCUAUCCAGCGAUGGAAUGCUAAUCUCAAAAACCUAUCUCAGUUCGGAUCGGAGUCUGCAACUCGACUCCGUGAAGUUGGAUUCGCUAGUAAUCGCGCAUCAGCCAUGGCGCGGUGAAUACGUUCCCGGGCCU
RNAcentral lists this ribosomal RNA (1334 nucleotides) under uncultured bacterium. Its description in RNAcentral is "partial 16S ribosomal RNA". It matches the Rfam family "Bacterial small subunit ribosomal RNA", at positions 50 to 1381 of the family's 1533-position model. The record is from RNAcentral.